Molecule: ribosomal RNA, 301 nt
Filed under: uncultured bacterium
Lineage: Bacteria
Description: partial 16S ribosomal RNA
Rfam family: Bacterial small subunit ribosomal RNA
Source: RNAcentral
CAAUCGCCACGGUAAAACGAAGGGGGCUAGCGUUGUUCGGAAUUACUGGGCGUAAAGCGCACGUAGGCGGAUAUUUAAGUCAGGGGUGAAAUCCCGCAGCUCAACUGCGGAACUGCCUUUGAUACUGGGUAUCUUGAGUAUGGAAGAGGUUAGUGGAAUUGCGAGUGUAGAGGUGAGAUUCGUAGAUAUUCGCAGGAACACCAGUGGCGAAGGCGGCUAACUGGUCCAUAACUGACGCUGAGGUGCGAAAGCGUGGGGAGCAAACAGGAUUAGAUACCCCCGUAGUCCCUGUCUCUUAUAC